GUCCAAGCAAUCUGCUCAACCAUUGGAACCUAGUACAUGAAAAAAAUCGGCCAUAGCCAAGAUAUUCUUCCAAGAUGGAGCGAUUAGGGUUUAACUUUAUCCACCUGGCUGGUAAAAUGUACUAUUGCUGCAUGCCAGAAUAUCUAAAAUAAUCAAAUAUAUUGGAUAGCGAGCUUAUUUCCUAUGAUGUCUUCUAUUAUUAUAUUGCAAAGAGCCACCUAUUCAUGACUCUCAUGUCAUUUCUAGAUUGUUGCCAGUUAAUUUGAGUCUCGCUGUAAAAACACUCCUUUUAGAAAAAUAUACCCCUCUGCUUCUCCUCCAUAUCCAGAAAGAUGGAAAUAAGAAAGACAUGCAUGAUAUUUGCAAAGUUCGUGUGAGUGUCAUGGAGAAGAAUCUCUUGGCUAUUUUAGUUGCCGGCUAUGAAAUUGAGUCAAAAUUUCCCAAGGAGGAUAGUGUGCAUAGAUGAUAAUGUAAUUUGGAUUAUACUGAGUGAAUCAGUAUGGAGUUAGCAAGUGGCAGGAAAGGCUUUGCACAAGAAGGAUGAAUAAAGUACUUGAUCACGACAUGUUGGCAAAUAUUUAGGGGAG
Molecule: long non-coding RNA, 587 nt
Filed under: Elaeis guineensis (African oil palm)
Lineage: Eukaryota; Viridiplantae; Streptophyta; Magnoliopsida; Arecales; Arecaceae
Description: long non-coding RNA (EGUI_LNC046516)
Source: RNAcentral